AUGAGGAACCAUGCCACGCCUUACACGGUCAUACUGGCGAUCCUACUGGGCGCCUCGCUCGCGAGCGCGAAGACCCUGCUGCAGCAGCGAGAUGCGCUGACGACCUUCCUGGAGAGCAGGGCCAAGACGGUCGCGACCGGUGCUGUCAACCCGGACACGUGGGCCGACCCUGACAGCAGCUUCAGGCACCUGCCCAUGAGCGGCCCGAGCGCGCCGCCCGGCGCCAGGGAGGCCGACAGGAUCGCGGCGCUGCCCGGCCAGCCGCCGCGCGUCAACUUCGACCAGUACUCCGGUUACGUCACGGUGAGCGAGCAGCACGGCCGCGCGCUCUUCUACUACUUCGUGGAGGCCGCGUACGAGGCCUCCUCCAAGCCGCUCGUCCUCUGGCUCACCGGCGGGCCUGGGUGCUCCUCGCUGGGGGCCGGCGCCAUGCAAGAGCUCGGCCCGUUCCGCGUGAACCCCGACGGCAAGACCCUGAGCAGAAACAGACACGCCUGGAACAAUGUGGCAAAUGUGAUCUUCCUGGAGUCGCCGGCCGGCGUGGGGUUCUCGUACUCGAACACGUCGUCGGAGAACCACGAGAGCGGGGACACGAGGACCGCCGUGGACGCCUACAUCUUCCUGCUCAACUGGCUGGAGAGGUUCCCGGAGUACAAGGGCCGGGACUUCUACAUCGCUGGCGAGAGCUACGGCGGCCACUACGUCCCCCAGCUCGCCACCGUCAUCGUCGCCCUCCGCAACCUCGGCGCCACAAGCAUGAACCUCAAGGGGAUCUUCGUUGGCAACCCGUACCUUGAUGACUACAAGAACACGAGGGGACGGUACGAGUUCUUGUGGAACCACGGCGUGAUGUCGGACGAGGUGUGGGGCAACAUCAGCGCGCACUGCAGCUUCGGGCGGUUGGAGGGCAAAGCGUGCGGCCAAGCCAAGGCGUCCUUCAGAACCGGCGACAUUGAUCGUUACAACAUCUACGCUCCCGUCUGCAUCAGGUCGCGAGACAGGAGCCUCCACUCCAGUGGCUACUUAGCAGGCUAUGAUCCGUGCAUCGGGUACUAUGUGGACGCCUACUUCAACAAUCCUGAGGUGCAGAAGGCAAUGCAUGCUCGAACCAACACUGACUGGUCAGAAUGCGCUAACUUAAUUUGGACCGAUGCCCCAAUUUCCAUGGUGCCAACCAUUGAUUGGCUUGUCAACAACGGAUUAAGAGUCUGGCUGUACAGUGGUGACAUGGAUGAUGUCUGCCCGAUUACCGCGACGAGGUACUCUGUCAAGGAUCUCAAUCUGACAAUCACAAACCCCUGGCGUCCAUGGUACACCCCAGACAGUGAGGUUGGAGGCUACGCUCAGCAAUACAAGGGAGGAUUCACAUUUGCGUCAGUGAGAGGAGCUGGCCAUAUGGUUCCUAGCUUCCAGCCUAAAAGAUCACUUGUUCUUUUCUACUCCUUCAUGAAAGGCGUUCUGCCACCUGCGGUCCCAGAAUUGAACGCCUGA
Molecule: ribosomal RNA, 1491 nt
Filed under: Triticum aestivum (bread wheat)
Lineage: Eukaryota; Viridiplantae; Streptophyta; Magnoliopsida; Poales; Poaceae
Description: partial small subunit ribosomal RNA
Source: RNAcentral